This 423-nucleotide ribosomal RNA is filed under the name uncultured Glomeromycotina. RNAcentral describes it as "LSU rRNA". The record is from RNAcentral. Lineage: Eukaryota; Fungi; Glomeromycota.
UUGAAAGGGAACGAUUGAAGUCAGUCGUACCGACNGAGGGAUCAACCUUUGAAAGCGGGUCGAGGUAUUCGAGGAGUUUAAAAGCCCUCUUGCGCUCACGUACUUCGUUUUCUUUGGUGCACUUCUUCGUAUGGUAGGUUAACAUCAAUUUUGGACGUUACAAAAUGAUCGGGGGAAUGUAGCUUCGAUUUUUCCGGAAGUGUUAUAGCCCUUGGUAGAUGUGACGACCGGGAUUGAGGAUUGCAACGAAUGCUUUCGGGCUAUCCGUCUGACCUCUGGUGGUUGCUUUAGGGUCGAAAGCGUGCUUACGACUUUAAAGUUGGCUAUCAAAAGGCUAGAACGUGAUUAAAUUCGUUAAGGAUGUUGACGUAAUCCAUAUGACUAGUAGAUCCUCAAGAGUCGACCUGCAUUCUNUCAAGCUAA